Molecule: ribosomal RNA, 1158 nt
Filed under: Triticum aestivum (bread wheat)
Lineage: Eukaryota; Viridiplantae; Streptophyta; Magnoliopsida; Poales; Poaceae
Description: partial small subunit ribosomal RNA
Source: RNAcentral
AUGGACCAGGCAUGCCCAGCAAUAGUGUGUGAGGAAUGUGGCAGUGGAGCGUACCAAGAGCUUUUGGUAAACUGCACCCAGUGCAAUGGCUAUCGACACCGUUACUGCUUGGUUGUGGUGGAAUUUGAAAUGAUACAUGAAUGGUGCUGCGGUGAAUGCCAAAAAAAGGAUAAUGGGGACACAAAACCUAUUGAAGGUGAAAAUUCUGAAGUGAAACCCAUUCCCUCUCAAGAGGUGGCACUAUUAAGUAUGCCAACUACUGAUAAUUGGCCAAGGUUUGUUGUGCGACAUAAACGCACUCCACGAAAGAUGAAGUGUGUAUCUCCCAAUAGGAGUGAAAAUCAAGCAUUUGCCCUGAAACGAUGCGCUAUUGCAAGUCAAAACCAGAUAAAAGUUGAGGAUAUGAACAAGAGACAGAAAGUACUGUCGGGUGCAACUAUGUUUACAUACAACAGAAACGGAAAAGUUAAAAACAAUGACCAUCAGCUUCGAGAUCAGCCUAAAGAAGCAAAGGUAGCCGGUGCUGCAGAUAAAAGAAAAUUCAACUCCUGGGUAGGCGAUCAGCCUACUGGAAAAAUGGCAUUCAGUGCUUCAGUGCCCACAGAUGCUAACAUUGGACGCGGAUCUGGAACAAAGAGUCUGAACAACAAUAUAGACAUGCCAGUGAUCAUCAGCUCAAGUGCAGAGUAUGCAAGACGCCCUCCACCAGAAGCAGUCUGUUGGACGGGAUGCUUUCUUCUCUCUGAUGGAGAAAUUUUCAAUCUUGGUGAAUUUAAAGCAUACCACCCAUCGGUAGUAUCACCCAGAGUUUGUAAUAUCGCCAAGAAGAUGCCUACUAAUAUGCAAUUGAAGAUAUCACCUCGAAAGAAUUACUGGCCAAAGACGUUUGAGAAAAUCUCUCCAGUUUAUGAAGACAUCGCCUUGUUAUUUUUCUCUGCUGAAGUUGACUGUUGGAACAAGAAGCAUCCUUGUCUCGUGGAUACGCGCUGCGGUUUUGUCAUGCACGCAUAUAUCGAUGACAUGAUGUUGUUGAUGUAUUCCUCAGAAGUGCUUCCACCCGAUUGUCAGUGGAUAGACGGAAAGAGUUACUUAUGGGGAGUUUUUGUGAAGCCAAAGUCAAAGAGCAAUCAUGCACGGUUAGGUUCAGUUGCUACAUGA